This 536-nucleotide long non-coding RNA is filed under the name Phoenix dactylifera (date palm). RNAcentral's name for it is "long non-coding RNA (PDAC_LNC006195)". Lineage: Eukaryota; Viridiplantae; Streptophyta; Magnoliopsida; Arecales; Arecaceae. The record is from RNAcentral.
UAUAUAUUGUAUACUUACGGGGGAGACAUAUAUUAUACACUUAAGGGUGAGACAUUUGACAAAGAGAAAAUCUGAAUCUGGCACAUAAUCAUAGAGAUUUUCCUUGCCUCGAUACAUAGCUUGAAACUCUUGCUUUAAGGGGGAGCAAAGCUAAAAUUCAUUAGGCAUUCUACUUGGAUAAGAUAGGUUCAUUGAUACAUUCUCUAAAUUGGACUAUUUGAAACUUUUACACCAAAAGCAUUUCCUAUACAUUAAACCAUACUUCUCACAUGAAUAUCAAUUUGCUUAUACUCAAUAUUUUGUAAUCAUCAAAAAGGGGAAGAUUGAGGAUCCUAGUGUUAUUUUGAUGCUUACAAAUCCAUUGAGCCCAUAUGGAAGUGCUAAUGCUAUUAAUUCAAUUAAUCCAGUACAUAAGUGAGUAAGGAAGAAAUAUUCGAUACAUCAUUGAUAAAUGACACACCCUCGAUACAUUUACGAUACAUUAAGAAUAUAUGGUCAAAACCACUCUCAAGAAUUGAUAACGAGAUAUAAUUUGU